GCCUCAUUUAUAUGUAUAUGAGGUGAGACCUGCUCAAUGGCUACAAAUAAAAAAUAAUAGUAGUUAAAUAGCCGCGGUAACUCUGACCGUGAUAAAGUAGCAUAAUCACUCGUCAUUUAAUUGAUGACUGGAAUGAAUGGUUACACGAAUCCUUAACUGUCUCAGUAGUAAAGUUAUUGAAAUUGAAAUAAUAGUGAAGAUGCUAUUUAUGAGUUGUAAGACGAAAAGACCCUAUCGAGCUUUACUAAAUACCUAGAAUUUAAAUUUGCACAAUAAUUUACUAAUAAAUCUUCUAGGUUAAUUAGUUUGGUUGGGGCGACCACCUCUAAAACAGUAUCAGAGGAAAUCAAAAGGUAAAUAAAAGUAUAAGUUGCCUUACUGUAUACACACCUGUUAAUCAGUUACUAAAAAGUAGGAUAUAAUGACCCGUUAAGCAUAUCUUAAAACUUAACGACUAUGAAAAAAGUUACCGUAGGGAUAACAGGGUAAUAUUUUUAGAGAGUCCAUAUCGAUAAAAAUGUUUGCCACCUCGAUGUUGAAUUGUGAUAUCCUAAAGGUGUAGCAGCUUUUAAGGGUUG
RNAcentral lists this ribosomal RNA (578 nucleotides) under Lychnorhiza sp. 3 LGD-2017. RNAcentral describes it as "partial 16S large subunit ribosomal RNA". It matches the Rfam family "Bacterial large subunit ribosomal RNA", at positions 1825 to 2574 of the family's 2925-position model. The record is from RNAcentral. Lineage: Eukaryota; Metazoa; Cnidaria; Scyphozoa; Rhizostomeae; Lychnorhizidae.